CAGCAGCCGCGGUAAUACGAAGGGUGCAAGCGUUACUCGGAAUUACUGGGCGUAAAGCGUGUGUAGGUGGUGGUUUAAGUCCGUUGUGAAAGCCCUGGGCUCAACCUGGGAAUUGCAGUGGAUACUGGAUCACUAGAGUGUGGUAGAGGAUAGUGGAAUUUCCGGUGUAGCAGUGAAAUGCGUAGAGAUCGGAAGGAACAUCUGUGGCGAAGGCGACUAUCUGGGCCAACACUGACACUGAGGCACGAAAGCGUGGGGAGCAAACAGGAUUAGAUACCCGGGUAGUCCCUGUCUCUUAUAC
Molecule: ribosomal RNA, 301 nt
Filed under: uncultured bacterium
Lineage: Bacteria
Description: partial 16S ribosomal RNA
Rfam family: Bacterial small subunit ribosomal RNA
Source: RNAcentral